GGCAGGCCUAACACAUGCAAGUCGAACGGUAACAGGAAGCAUCUUGCUGCUUUGCUGACGAGUGGCGGACGGGUGAGUAAUGUCUGGGAAACUGCCUGAUGGAGGGGGAUAACUACUGGAAACGGUAGCUAAUACCGCAUAACGUCGCAAGACCAAAGAGGGGGACCUUAGGGCCUCUUGCCAUCGGAUGUGCCCAGAUGGGAUUAGCUAGUAGGUGGGGUAACGGCUCACCUAGGCGACGAUCCCUAGCUGGUCUGAGAGGAUGACCAGCCACACUGGAACUGGGACACGGUCCAGACUCCUACGGGAGGCAGCAGUGGGGAAUAUUGCACAAUGGGCGCAAGCCUGAUGCAGCCAUGCCGCGUGUAUGAAGAAGGCCUUCGGGUUGUAAAGUACUUUCAGCGGGGAGGAAGGGAGUAAAGUUAAUACCUUUGCUCAUUGACGUUACCCGCAGAAGAAGCACCGGCUAACUCCGUGCCAGCAGCCGCGGUAAUACGGAGGGUGCAAGCGUUAAUCGGAAUUACUGGACGUAAAGCGCACGCAGGCGGUUUGUUAAGUCAGAUGUGAAAUCCCCGGGCUCAACCUGGGAACUGCAUCUGAUACUGGCAAGCUUGAGUCUCGUAGAGGGGGGUAGAAUUCCAGGUGUAGCGGUGAAAUGCGUAGAGAUCUGGAGGAAUACCGGUGGCGAAGGCGGCCCCCUGGACGAAGACUGACGCUCAGGUGCGAAAGCGUGGGGAGCAAACAGGAUUAGAUACCCUGGUAGUCCACGCCGUAAACGAUGUCGACUUGGAGGUUGUGCCCUUGAGGCGUGGCUUCCGGAGCUAACGCGUUAAGUCGACCGCCUGGGGAGUACGGCCGCAAGGUUAAAACUCAAAUGAAUUGACGGGGGCCCGCACAAGCGGUGGAGCAUGUGGUUUAAUUCGAUGCAACGCGAAGAACCUUACCUGGUCUUGACAUCCACGGAAGUUUUCAGAGAUGAGAAUGUGCCUUCGGGAACCGUGAGACAGGUGCUGCAUGGCUGUCGUCAGCUCGUGUUGUGAAAUGUUGGGUUAAGUCCCGCAACGAGCGCAACCCUUAUCCUUUGUUGCCAGCGGUCCGGCCGGGAACUCAAAGGAGACUGCCAGUGAUAAACUGGAGGAAGGUGGAGAUGACGUCAAGUCAUCAUGGCCCUUACGACCAGGGCUACACACGUGCUACAAUGGCGCAUACAAAGAGAAGCGACCUCGCGAGAGCAAGCGGACCUCAUAAAGUGCGUCGUAGUCCGGAUUGGAGUCUGCAACUCGACUCCAUGAAGUCGGAAUCGCUAGUAAUCGUGGAUCAGAAUGCCACGGUGAAUACGUUCCCGGGCCUUGUACACACCGCCCGUCACACCAUGGGAGUGGGUUGCAAAAGAAGUAGGUAGCUUAACCUUCGGGAGGGCGCUUACCACUUUGUGAUUCAUGACUGG
This 1447-nucleotide ribosomal RNA is filed under the name uncultured organism. RNAcentral's name for it is "SSU rRNA". It matches the Rfam family "Bacterial small subunit ribosomal RNA". The record is from RNAcentral.